CCUACGGGAGGCAGCCGUGGGGGAUAUUGGACAAUGGGGGGAACCCUGAUCCAGCGACGCCGCGUGAGUGAAGAAGUAUUUCGGUAUGUAAAGCUCUGUCAGCAGGGAAGAAAGAAAUGACGGUACCUGACCAAGAAGCCCCGGCUAACUACGUGCCAGCAGCCGCGGUAAUACGUAGGGGGCAAGCGUUAUCCGGAAUUACUGGGUGUAAAGGGGGCGUAGACGGUUAAGUAAGUCUGGAGUGAAAGGCCGGGGCCCAACCCCGGGACUGCUCUGGAAACUAUUGAACUUGAGUGCAGGAGAGGUAAGCGGAAUUCCUAGUGUAGCGGUGAAAUGCGUAGAUAUUAGGAGGAACACCAGUGGCGAAGGCGGCUUACUGGACUGUAACUGACGUUGAGGCUCGAAAGCGUGGGGAGCAAACAGGAUUAGAUACCCCUGUAGUC
RNAcentral lists this ribosomal RNA (443 nucleotides) under uncultured bacterium. RNAcentral's name for it is "partial 16S ribosomal RNA". It matches the Rfam family "Bacterial small subunit ribosomal RNA", at positions 338 to 795 of the family's 1533-position model. The record is from RNAcentral.